AGUUUGAUCAUGGCUCAGAUUGAACGCUGGCGGCAUGCUUUACACAUGCAAGUCGAACGGCAGCACGGGGGCAACCCUGGUGGCGAGUGGCGAACGGGUGAGUAAUACAUCGGAACGUGCCCAGUCGUGGGGGAUAACGUAGCGAAAGCUACGCUAAUACCGCAUGCGAUCUACGGAUGAAAGCGGGGGAUCGCAAGACCUCGCGCGAUUGGAGCGGCCGAUGGCAGAUUAGGUAGUUGGUGGGGUAAAGGCUCACCAAGCCUUCGAUCUGUAGCUGGUCUGAGAGGACGACCAGCCACACUGGGACUGAGACACGGCCCAGACUCCUACGGGAGGCAGCAGUGGGGAAUUUUGGACAAUGGGCGAAAGCCUGAUCCAGCCAUUCCGCGUGCAGGAUGAAGGCCCUCGGGUUGUAAACUGCUUUUGUACGGAACGAAACGGCCUUUUCUAAUACAGAGGGCUAAUGACGGUACCGUAAGAAUAAGCACCGGCUAACUACGUG
RNAcentral lists this ribosomal RNA (502 nucleotides) under uncultured bacterium. Its description in RNAcentral is "bacterial SSU rRNA". It matches the Rfam family "Bacterial small subunit ribosomal RNA", at positions 10 to 507 of the family's 1533-position model. The record is from RNAcentral.